Molecule: ribosomal RNA, 475 nt
Filed under: uncultured bacterium
Lineage: Bacteria
Description: SSU rRNA
Rfam family: Bacterial small subunit ribosomal RNA
Source: RNAcentral
AGGACGAACGCUGGCGGCGUGCUUAACACAUGCAAGUCGAGCGAGGCCCUCUCUUCGGAGAGGUGCCCUAGCGGCGAACGGGUGAGUAACACGUGGGCAACCUGCCCCUAGCACUGGGAUAAGCCCGGGAAACCGGGUCUAAUACCGGACAUGACCUGCUGCGGCAUCGCGGUGGGUGGAAAGUUUUCGGCCAGGGUGGGGCUCGCGGCCUAUCAGCUUGUUGGGGGGUGACGGCCCACCAAGGCGACGACGGGUAGCCGGCCUGAGAGGGCGACCGGCCACACUGGGACUGAGACACGGCCCAGACUCCUACGGGAGGCAGCAGUGGGGAAUAUUGCGCAAUGGGCGGAAGCCUGACGCAGCGACGCCGCGUGCGGGAUGAAGGCCUUCGGGUUGUAACCGCUUUCACCAGGGGCGAAGCGAGAGUGACGGUACCUGGGGAAGAAGCGCCGGCUAACUACGUGCCAGCAGCCGC